UACGUAGGGUGCGAGCGUUGUCCGGAAUUAUUGGGCGUAAAGAGCUCGUAGGCGGUCUGUCACGUCGGCUGUGAAAUCCCGAGGCUCAACCUCGGGUCUGCAGUCGAUACGGGCAAACUAGAGUAUUGCAGGGGAGACUGGAAUUCCUGGUGUAGCGGUGAAAUGCGCAGAUAUCAGGAGGAACACCGGUGGCGAAGGCGGUUCUCUGGGCAUGUCCUGACGCUGAGGAGCGAAAAGUGUGGGGGAGCGAACAGG
Molecule: ribosomal RNA, 255 nt
Filed under: uncultured bacterium
Lineage: Bacteria
Description: partial 16S ribosomal RNA
Rfam family: Bacterial small subunit ribosomal RNA
Source: RNAcentral